Molecule: long non-coding RNA, 451 nt
Organism: Drosophila elegans
Lineage: Eukaryota; Metazoa; Arthropoda; Insecta; Diptera; Drosophilidae
Exons: 2
Source: RefSeq, a predicted model, not a curated record
CUGUGCCCAAGGAUCGAUCGUGCGUUGUUGAAAUAGAGUUCAGUAGCUUGACGAAGCUGAAAAAGAACAGACGCUUUAUUAAAAAGAACUAAACUUGAAUUCAAGAUGAGUGGCCGACAAGUGGACAACUGGAAUGGUGGCCAAGGACAUCAAUUUCAGUACCAACAUACAACUUAUUCCAACCAAGUCGCUAAUCCGAGCGGAGUGACCUCCAGGCAAAUCCAAGCCAACAAUCGCCGGGCUGCUGUUGAAAUCCAGCAUAUCACUCGUGCGUUGUCCAACAAUGGUCAACCCAACAGUGUAACCUUCAACUACGUUAACGUCAACCAUAGAUAUGCCAAAAAGUAAUAUCUAUUUGGGAAGCAACUUGAUGUUUUUUAAUUUCCUUAAUUCGUUUCAAUUUCCAAGUUGCAAAAUAAAUAAAUAAAAGGAAACGAAUCUGUAAAAAAAA